GCGGUUGUGGCGGAAUUGGCAGACGCGCUACUUUGAGGGGGUAGUGAUCUCAGGUCGUAUGGGUUCAAGUCCCAUCAACCGCACCA
This 86-nucleotide transfer RNA is filed under the name Anaerovibrio sp. RNAcentral describes it as "tRNA-Leu". It matches the Rfam family "tRNA". Rfam says of the family: Transfer RNA (tRNA) molecules are approximately 80 nucleotides in length. Their secondary structure includes four short double-helical elements and three loops (D, anti-codon, and T loops). Lineage: Bacteria; Bacillati; Bacillota; Negativicutes; Selenomonadales; Selenomonadaceae. RNAcentral also lists the same sequence under 3 other names. The record is from RNAcentral.